AAAGAUUAAGCCAUGCAUGUCUAAGUAUAAGCAAUCUAUACAGUGAAACUGCGAAUGGCUCAUUAAAUCAGUUAUCGUUUAUUUGAUAGUACCUUACUACUUGGAUAACCGUGGUAAUUCUAGAGCUAAUACAUGCUAAAAAUCCCGACCUCUGGAAGGGAUGUAUUUAUUAGAUAAAAAACCAAUGCCUUCGGGCUCCUUGGUGAUUCAUGAUAACUUUACGAAUCGCAUGGCCCUGCGCCGGCGAUGGUUCAUUCAAAUUUCUGCCCUAUCAACUUUCGAUGGUAGGAUAGUGGCCUACCAUGGUAU
RNAcentral lists this ribosomal RNA (309 nucleotides) under uncultured fungus. Its description in RNAcentral is "SSU rRNA". It matches the Rfam family "Eukaryotic small subunit ribosomal RNA", at positions 39 to 352 of the family's 1831-position model. Lineage: Eukaryota; Fungi. The record is from RNAcentral.